RNAcentral lists this ribosomal RNA (468 nucleotides) under uncultured bacterium. Its description in RNAcentral is "partial 16S ribosomal RNA". It matches the Rfam family "Bacterial small subunit ribosomal RNA", at positions 28 to 507 of the family's 1533-position model. The record is from RNAcentral.
GACGAACGCUGGCGGCGUGCUUAACACAUGCAGGUCGAACGGAAAGGCCCUGCUUUUGUGGGGUGCUCGAGUGGCGAACGGGUGAGUAACACGUGAGUAACCUGCCCUUGACUUUGGGAUAACUUCAGGAAACUGGGGCUAAUACCGGAUAGGAGCUCCUGCUGCAUGGUGGGGGUUGGAAAGUUUCGGCGGUUGGGGAUGGACUCGCGGCUUAUCAGCUUGUUGGUGGGGUAGUGGCUUACCAAGGCUUUGACGGGUAGCCGGCCUGAGAGGGUGACCGGCCACAUUGGGCCUGAGAUACGGCCCAGAAUCCUACGGGAGGCAGCAGUGGGGAAUAUUGCACAAUGGGCGGAAGCCUGAUGCAGCAACGCCGCGUGCGGGAUGACGGCCUUCGGGUUGUAAACCGCUUUCGCCUGUGACGAAGCGUGAGUGACGGUAAUGGGUAAAGAAGCACCGGCUAACUACGUG